GGAGCCGUAAUGGGAGAUGGCGUGUCUUUCGAGCGCACGCGCCGACGAGGAAAAAAGGUGUGCCCGCCCGACGCCGCCUCUAAGGGGUGGCCGCUCUACAGCUGCCUGCCUAAUCUCCAGUUGCCCCCGCCACCUCCCUUGUAGCGGCCUACCUGUUCACGCCGCCGGGGCCACCUUAGGGUUCUAAGCUACUCACGACGUCGGGACCUCGAGCUCUUCCUGCUUCUUCGUCCGCACCAACUUCCACCAGUCUCUAAGCUCCACACGAGACUUCGAUGUUCGCCGACCUGCUCCUCCCACUCCGAACCCUUUCGUGGACUACUCUCUCUGUACUUAGGACUGUCUUUUUGUCGUGAACUCGAGAGACAGGCACGAAUACGACUUUUUACAGUUCCCGUACAGCAGUUAGGCUUUUAACCGUGCCUUAAACUGAGCAACCUACUUCGUAUACUCAAGAUGUUGGAUAUAAGUACCCUUUGUACAAAACCAUAUGCUGAGCGUUUCUCGUCCGAGUUACACGUCUCUUGUUCCACAUACGUUCUCUAUCAAACACGGACGCGCCCCAGUGGCAACUUCCUCUUGUCGGCCAGAAGCUCCACACCAACGUUACGUUACUAUUCCGACGAGGCUAGUUUCCUACGCCCAACCAUGUAUAGUCUCGUGUUUCGUCCCGUGUUGGUAGGUGACAGGUAAUGUACACCGGUCUUUUACGUAACUUUCAGCGUGUCCGUAUAUCUGUCUACGUGGUUCCUAGAACACUUCGUCGAAUCCCUAUUAUUACAACCGUAACCCUUUCAAAAGUCGUAUCACCCAUCAAAAAAGCCUAGGUGUCUAUUGCACGGAAAAUGGUUUUCCAGUAACUUCUGGAACACAUCUUUUGAGUUGUUUCUUGUCAGUCUAAAACUACGGCAGUUUUGUUACUUGGACGAACCACUCUACUUCCGUUUGCUAGGUUUGAAGUUGAUGUGUCACGUCCAGCUACUUCUCUCGGCGUAUUUCUGUGAUUACACCCACUGUUCGUCACCCACGUUGGUCAUGUCCACAAAACCUCUACGUUAUUGAAAACUGUGGUGUAUGGCUUGUUUGAACAUGCUAUACGGGAAACCAGACAAGCAGCCGCAGUUGUUGGUGAAGGUCUCGUAUUAAAAACCCCCCCGCUACUACUCCCUGCUAUUUCUCCUUUGUAAGUUUACCUAAAAGUUCCUCAAACAAGCGUACCAACCACCCUUUGUAGGCGUCUGUUAUGAAUGUCUGGUCCGUGCCAGGUACCUUGACCGUUAACUUCGGCUCGAGGGUUUAUGACACGUGGCCACCACGUUUACCGUACAAGACUUUUUCCGAUUCCUCAGGUACCCACAUGAAACCUCGUUCUUGUCGCUUAAGUUCGACCUCAAGGUGUUCGAACACGUAGUGUACUAGUGCCUUCUUCUCAAACUCCUACCGACCUCGGUCUACACCCUCUUCAUGAGAAACUUCUUUGUAGGUAAAAACUGAGUCUAUAUACUCCAGUCCGUAUUUACCCGUUUCGGCAUAAAGGCUCCCCACAAGACACGAGCCUACUGCUCGUGAGUUGCCUCGCUCUCGCGGUUGGUAAACAACUUUCCAAUGCACGGAGGUCCCACAGGUUACGUAAACAAAGACUUCGUUAAGGUCUUUAACGUUAAACUGUCUCUCCGUCUCCUCUCAAAGGUCCUCUUCUCCUGUAGCGAUUCACCACACACAGAAGCCCAGUUGGAAGGUUAACUCUUCGUACGAUCGUUUCAGAUGUGGUCUCGAUACAAGCUUUUUAAGCCCCUUCUCAACAUGUUCACACCCCGUGUACACAACCUACUCCACCACGGACCCUCCUAAAUAUUCAGCUGGGUGCAUCUUCGCCGUUUGUCCCUCUUUACCUCGUUUCAACUUAAGUUCUAUCUUCACUUACUUCUGCGCUCAAAAAAGUCAACGCUCACACCAAUAAAACUUGUACGACCCGAUCACACGACGGUACGUAACGUCCACUACCACGUAAAGGCUAACGUUUUUUAUGGUGUCUUCGUAUAUGAAUUUUCCACCUGCUCUCUCCGUGCACUGUAAGAAGGACUUGUAAACCAAUCCAUAGUUUCUCUGGCUCCUGGAGGUCGAUCACUAUGUAAGUCCGUAGUGUGGUACAUGUACUUUCGAGACCUCACACAGCACGAACCUCUGUCGUUACAAUUCACGAUACUACAAAAGUACCGAUACUACUUCCUCCAAGUACGCUGAGACGAAGGUGAAUCGCAACUAUUUCUACCUUACCCCGAACGUCUCUCUCUCUCCGUCCAAGUCCAACAUCUAGUUUUCCCCGAACCUAGUUGCCUACCGCUACUACACGACUUCUUUGUAUGGACGCUGCCGCUUAGGUCAACGAGUCGACAACCCGACAGACUAUCCUUCUCCGUUUCCCCGUCCGGCUGCUGGUCGUCCCUGUUCCGAGGAAUGCUUGUUGUGGAAUUCUCCAGUGCAAAAACGUGCUAGACGUCUCUCGUCCCGGUGUUCACAUGUUGAACAGGGGUCUCUCCCCUAAACGGUUUCCGAGGUUCCUUCAACGGCUUUACGUGCUUGACACCACACCAACCUGUGUCCGCGUUAUGAACGCCCUGAUUCUUCUCGCCGGGUAAACUCGGUUUGAAGGAUAUCCGUUGGACUUAAGAUAAAACAUGACACAAAAAGUCUGAAAUACAGUACGUACAACACUUUUCCUGAUCCACUAUACCUAGUCAACCAAUACACCACACGAGGUCCAUCCUUGUACGCUUUUUACAACGGCAAAAGUACAAAACUAACAACAUAGACACACGGUCGUUGUAGCCAUCGUACACGUGCUGUAACGUAAAAAACGAGAAACCCUCUUAACACGUAAAAAAGGUCACAUCAUUGAAAUUAG
Molecule: ribosomal RNA, 2905 nt
Filed under: Triticum aestivum (bread wheat)
Lineage: Eukaryota; Viridiplantae; Streptophyta; Magnoliopsida; Poales; Poaceae
Description: partial small subunit ribosomal RNA
Source: RNAcentral